Molecule: ribosomal RNA, 301 nt
Filed under: uncultured bacterium
Lineage: Bacteria
Description: partial 16S ribosomal RNA
Rfam family: Bacterial small subunit ribosomal RNA
Source: RNAcentral
CCAGCAGCCGCGGUAAUACGUAGGUGGCAAGCGUUGUCCGGAAUUAUUGGGCGUAAAGGGCUCGCAGGCGGUUUCUUAAGUCUGAUGUGAAAGCCCCCGGCUCAACCGGGGAGGGUCAUUGGAAACUGGGAAACUUGAGUGCAGAAGAGGAGAGUGGAAUUCCACGUGUAGCGGUGAAAUGCGUAGAGAUGUGGAGGAACACCAGUGGCGAAGGCGACUCUCUGGUCUGUAACUGACGCUGAGGAGCGAAAGCGUGGGGAGCGAACAGGAUUAGAUACCCCCGUAGUCCCUGUCUCUUAUA